Molecule: ribosomal RNA, 321 nt
Filed under: uncultured eukaryote
Lineage: Eukaryota
Description: partial 18S ribosomal RNA
Rfam family: Eukaryotic small subunit ribosomal RNA
Source: RNAcentral
CCCUUAGAUGUCCUGGGCCGCACGCGCGCUACACUGACAUGUUCAACAAGCCUCCUAGUUCGACAGGAUUUGGGAAAUCUUUGAACGCAUGUCGUGAUAGGGAUAGAUCAUUGCAAUUAUUGAUCUUGAACGAGGAAUUCCUAGUAAACGCGAGUCAUCAGCUCGCAUUGACUACGUCCCUGCCCUUUGUACACACCGCCCGUCGCACCUACCGAUUGAAUGUUUCGGUGAAGAUUCCGGAUAGGACUUUUUUGAUUUAUUUCAAUUUUGUCUUAAAAGCUAUCUAAACCUCAACAUUUAGAGGAAGGUGAAGUUGUAACA